Molecule: long non-coding RNA, 254 nt
Filed under: Citrus maxima (pomelo)
Lineage: Eukaryota; Viridiplantae; Streptophyta; Magnoliopsida; Sapindales; Rutaceae
Description: long non-coding RNA (CMAX_LNC002589)
Source: RNAcentral
GCCCAAGUGGCCAGAGUCACUCCCUCACAAAUAUGAGGGAAGUGGUUCGAGCCUCCGCAGACGCAUUGUAGGGGUUUGAUUUCAAUUUCCUUCCUUGGAGCCCCAGAGCUUAAGUGAAGGCAGUCUUUCUCCCAUAAUGGGAGUUGACGUCCCUCGAAUAUUUGAGAGGGUUAAAAAUCUGAGCGGUGUCAUAUCAGAAUUGAUGUAAACGGGUCUCAGUACAUAUAUGAUUGUAAAUGUUAUCAUGAGCAAUA